This is an RNA transcript of Hibiscus syriacus, 784 nucleotides long. RefSeq lists it as uncharacterized. NCBI's taxonomy places the organism in Eukaryota, Viridiplantae, Streptophyta, Magnoliopsida, Malvales, Malvaceae. The transcript is spliced from 6 exons. The record is from RefSeq and is a predicted model, not a curated record.
AAGUCCCCGCGAUCUCUUUUAAUGACGGUUUUACCGUGACGGAGCUGGCUCACCGGUCACCGUCACUGUCCAUCCAAAAAUGGCGUCGAGACUAGCGAUGCUGAAACGCUCCGCCGCAGUCGAAUACGGUUCUGUUUUGGGGCUGCGGAGAUGGGUUCAUGCUUCAGCACUCCAUCCACCGUUGGAUGCUUCCAUCAGUCAACCCCCACCGUCGCAGCUGUUGGUUUUACCCGAGUUCGAUCUCCCAGACAGCAAUAUUAACAACUUCGGGUUUGGGUUCCCGAUUUUCCUUUUUGGAGGAUCUUUGGAGCUCAUGGCUGUCCCAAAGAGAAAAGUGAGUCGCCAUAAGAGAGGCAUAAGAAAUGGACACAAGGGUUUGAAACCCGUUCCGGUCAUUAUUAGAUGCAAGAGCUGAGGUCGUGUUAAGUUACCGCACUUCUUUUGUUGCAGUGGAGCUCAGGGACUGAACAGCGAACAUGGUGAUUCGCCCGGUUAAUUGGUAUUGGCCUUCUGACUCGGACUGCUCCAACUCUUCCUGGAUCCACUCAGCCUGCUCCAACUCAUCCGAUCCUUGUCCCCAAGGAUCGAAACUUGGAAACUGAGGCCUCAGAAUGGUAUGAGCGUCUCAAGUAUCGUGAUUUGAGUUCAAGUUCAUCCAUAGUACAAGUAAAUUCUGCCAGUAAGGUUGCAAUCUUAGUUGGUAUUGGCCUUCUGACUCGGACUGCUCCAACUCUUCCUGGAUCCACUCAGCCUGCUCCAACUCAUCCGGUAAGUUAAUCAUAUG